GUAGGGGGCGAGCGUUAUCCGGAAUUACUGGGCGUAAAGGGCGUCUAGGCGGCUUGGUAAGUCUCGUGUGAAAUCUCCCGGCUCAACCGGGAGGGUGCACGGGAAACUGUCAAGCUUGAGACUCGGAGGGGGGUGCGGAAUUCCCGGUGGAGCGGUGGAAUGCGUUGAGAUCGGGAGGAACACCGGAGGCGAAGGCGGCACCCUGGCCGAGGUCUGACGCUGAAGCGCGACAGCGUGGGGAGCGAACGGGAUUAGAUACCCCGGUAGUCCACGCCGUAAACGAUGACAACUAGGUGUUGGGCGUCCUACGAGGCGCUCAGUGCCGCAGCUAACGCGUUAAGUUGUCCGCCUGGGAGUACGGCCGCAAGGCUA
Molecule: ribosomal RNA, 372 nt
Filed under: uncultured organism
Description: partial 16S ribosomal RNA
Rfam family: Bacterial small subunit ribosomal RNA
Source: RNAcentral